This is a long non-coding RNA of Eleginops maclovinus (Patagonian blennie), 1076 nucleotides long. RefSeq lists it as uncharacterized. The transcript has 2 exons. The record is from RefSeq and is a predicted model, not a curated record. NCBI's taxonomy places the organism in Eukaryota, Metazoa, Chordata, Actinopteri, Perciformes, Eleginopidae.
CUUUACUCAAGUACAAGACCUGAGUACUUCUACUUUACUCAAGUACAAGACCUGAGUACUUCUACUUUACUCAAGUACAAGACCUGAGUACUUCUACUUUACUCAAGUACAAGAUCUGAGUACUUCUACUUUAGGGGACAGUUGCAACAUUGCUGAUUUCUCCAAUCAGGAAUGAGAUAGUCAUGACACUCCUACUGCACAUGCUCAGUAGGCCCCUCCUUCUCUCUGGAAGGUAGCAGCCAGUCAUCGUGCCUUCUGGGAGAACUGGAAUUCAUGGAUGCCACGAGACAGGAAAAGGACAACCGAUAGGGGUGUCCCUCUACCUGUUCUGUCCUCAGCUGCUGGUGUAGUGGGCAAUGAAGACAGGACAGUGAGGUCUGUGGCAAAACAGUAUUCAAUUUGCCACACAACCCUCUACCACUUGAUUAAAAAGAGACAGAGGCUAGGUCCAGGAGAGAAGAGGACAGUUCUGCAGUUCCUCCAGUGCACGCUGGGGGUUCUGCCUCUUUUGCAGUUCCUCCAGCGCAAGAGUUCUCACCUGAGACUGUAAGACCUCACCCCAGAGCAGGACCACGGAAGAUGACAAAGGCAAACGGUAGGAAAAAUGCAAAUCGGCCAUCUUGACAGACACCCCCGAAAAGGAGGCUUUGGAGAAGGAGAAAGCAAAGGUUAAGAGGAAGCCAACAAAGGUUAUGAGAAAACUGACAAAGAACACACCGGAAACAAGCCAACAAACCCAGGUAGGCCUAAAGAAACCCAGAAGAAAAAGCAUACAGUGAAGGACAGUCGCUCUGAGGAAGAAGAAGGGUUCUACAUCGUCUGUUUGGAGAGCUACUCCAGACCAAGAGAGGUGUGGCUGCAAUGUCGGCAGUGCAAGACAUGGGCUCAUGAAGCCUGCACUGAUGGGAGGUGCAUUUACAUUUGCCCCAAUUGUGAGUCAGAUGGGGAAUUGUGAAUACUUGAUGCUUUACUUAAAAUAAUCAGUUUGUGUGCUUUUGGUGGUGGAAUGUGUUACUGCUUGUUACUUCAGUUGUAAACUUCAAUUUUUUUCAGAUGAAUAAAAAGUCCCGUAGCAA